This is a long non-coding RNA of Aquila chrysaetos chrysaetos, 730 nucleotides long. RefSeq lists it as uncharacterized. The transcript has 3 exons. The record is from RefSeq and is a predicted model, not a curated record. Lineage: Eukaryota; Metazoa; Chordata; Aves; Accipitriformes; Accipitridae.
UUAGAGUCUCUUUCAUGUGGGAAAUGCUUUUCUGUGAAGACUUGCAGAAUAUUUGCCCAGAAUGGACAUGAAGGAAGUGCCCUGGUGUGAGCUGAGGAGGAACACAAGAAGGAACAGAUGCAGUUUUGAAGGUCCUCACUGCAAGCACAACAGCUAGGUAAUAUGCAGCCAUGCUCAGGAUAAGAAGUUUGCUAAAAACAGCAGCGUGUACCUAUCCUGGGGAAAGAGAAGAGAAGAGAAGAGAAGAGAAGAGAAGAGAAGAGAAGAGAAGAGAAGAGAAGAGAAGAGAGAAAAUAAUGAUAACAGCAUUACAUACCUGAGAGGUUUAAAAAAGCAUAAAAAUUUUUGGUUGAUAUACAAGCCUUCUUGUUGCUAGUUGCAGACUUGACAUAUUAGUUAUUCACAUGAAGCCUCUGGAAAAGCAGUAAUGUUCUGUUCUUAUCUUGAAAAUGUGACAUAUUUUAAUUGAUAGAAUGAAUUGUAUUCUAGGCACUUCUUGGAUCCACUGAGAUCUAAAAAAAAUUAUCUAAAUUGAGAUUUUUAACAUAUCUGCUAGCAAACUCAGGAAUUGAAGUGUAAAAUCCAAGGUACCAUGAAGAUUUGAAAUAGUCUUAAUUUUAUAUGGUAGUUCAACAUCAAGUGUCAGAGAACGCAGCUGAAAACACUGCUUCUAUUAAGAUAAGCAAUAUGGUAUUUUUAUUUAAUUAAUGACUUAUGGAUCAGUCUCAGU